RNAcentral lists this ribosomal RNA (497 nucleotides) under uncultured bacterium. RNAcentral's name for it is "partial 16S ribosomal RNA". It matches the Rfam family "Bacterial small subunit ribosomal RNA", at positions 28 to 507 of the family's 1533-position model. The record is from RNAcentral.
GAUGAACGCUGGCGGCGUGCCUAAUACAUGCAAGUCGAGCGAACGGACGAGAAGCUUGCUUCUCUGAUGUUAGCGGCGGACGGGUGAGUAACACGUGGAUAACCUACCUAUAAGACUGGGAUAACUUCGGGAAACCGGAGCUAAUACCGGAUAAUAUUUUGAACCGCAUGGUUCAAAAGUGAAAGACGGUCUGGCUGUCACUUAUAGAUGGAUCCGCGCUGCAUUAGCUAGUUGGUAAGGUAACGGCUUACCAAGGCAACGAUGCAUAGCCGACCUGAGAGGGUGAUCGGCCACACUGGAACUGAGACACGGUCCAGACUCCUACGGGAGGCAGCAGUAGGGAAUCUUCCGCAAUGGGCGAAAGCCUUACGGAGCAACGCCGCGUGAGUGAUGAAGGUCUUCCGAUCGUAAAACUCUGUUAUUAGGGAAGAACAUAUGUGUAAGUAACUGUGCACAUCUUGACGGUACCUAAUCAGAAAGCCACGGCUAACUACGUG